AAACCCUAUCAAACUCCGAAUACCAGAGAUAGUAGCAUGGGAGUCAGACUAUGGGUGCUAAGAUCCGUAGUCGAAAGGGAAACAACCCAGAUCGCAAUCUAAGGUCCCUAAAUCUAGACUAAGUGGUUAAGGAUGUAAAUUUUCAUAGACAGCCAGGAGGUAGGCUUAGAAGCAGCCACCCUUUAAAGACAGCGUAACAGCUCACUGGUCGAUGAAAAUUUGCGCCGAAAAUGAAUCGGGGCUAAGUCUAGUACCGAAGAUGCGGAUUGUAUAUUUAUAUACAGUGGUAGAGGAGCGUUCUUAGUGGAAUGAAGCAUUACCGUAAGGAGAUGUGGACUGCUAAGAAGUGAGAAUCCUGGCAUGAGUAGCGACAAAAGUGGUGAGAAUCCACUUCACCGUAAGCGUAAGGGUUCCUGGGCAAGGCUCGUCCUCCCAGGGUUAGUCGGGACCUAAGGCGAGGCCGAAAGGCGUAGUCGAUGGAAAACAGGUUAAUAUUCCUGUACCACCUAUUAUGAGUGAUGGGGUGACGGAGAAGGAUAGAUCAGCCAAGUGUUGGAUUACUUGGUUCAAGCAUGUAGAAGUAAGGAAUAGGCAAAUCCGUUCCUUUUUAACUUUGAGAUGUGAGUACGAGAGACCUAGUCUCAUAAAGUGAUUGAUUCCAUGCUUCCUAGAAAAACCUCUAAGUGUUGAUUAAUAGGUGCUCGUACUGUAAACGGACACACGUACGCGGGUAGAGUAUACCAAGGUGUUUGAGAUAAUUAUGGCUAAGGAACUCGGCAAAAUAGCUCCGUAACUUCGGAAGAAGGAGUGCCUAUAUUAGGUGAAAGCUCUUGCAGCUGGAGCCGAAGUAGGUGGCACUGAAAUGGUGGAAGCGACUGUUUACCAAAAACACAGGCCUGUGCUAACCCGCAAGGGGAUGUAUACGGGCUGACGCCUGCCCGGUGCUGGACGGUUAAGGGGAUGGGUUAUCCUUCGGGAGAAGCUUAGAACCGAAGCCCCAGUAAACGGCGGCCGUAACUAUAACGGUCCUAAGGUAGCGAAAUUCCUUGUCGUCUAAUUAGCGACCCGCAUGAAUGGCGUAACGACUUCUAUGCUGUCUCGGCCAUAAUCUCAGCGAAAUUGUAGUGCUGGUGAAGAUGCCAGCUUCCCGUUGUGGGACGGAAAGACCCCGUGCACCUUUACUAUAACCUAGCACUGGAUUUUGAUGUUAAAUGCGUAGGAUAGGUGGGAGACUUUGAAGAUUCGAUUUCGGUUGGAUCUGAGUCGUUGGUGAAAUACCACCCUUUUAGUGUUAGGAUCCUAACUGUAAUCCGUUAUCCGGAUUAAGGACAAUGUUAGGCGGGUAGUUUGACUGGGGCGGUUGACUCCUAAAGAGUAACGGAGUCGCUCAAAGGUUCUCUCAGCCUGAUUGGAAACCAGGCGUCGAGUGUAAUGGCACAAGAGAGCUUGACUGUGAGAUCGACAGAUCGAGCAGGUACGAAAGUAGGACAUAGUGACCCGGUGGCUUCCAUGUGGGAGGGCCAUCGAUCAUCGGAUAAAAGGUACGCCGGGGAUAACAGAUUAAUCGCGCCCAAGAGUUCACAUCGACGGCGCGGAUUGAUACCUCGAUGUCGGCUCAUCGCAUCCUGGGGCUGAAGAAGGUCCCAAGGGUUAGGCUGUUCGCCUAUUAAAGCGGUACGCGAGCUGGGUUCAGAACGUCGUGAGACAGUUCGGUCCCUAUCUACAACGGGCGAAGGAAAAUUGAGAGGGCUUGCUCCUAGUACGAGAGGACCGGAGUGAACAAACCUCUAGUGUAUGAGUUGUUGUGCCAACAGCAGUGCUCAGUAGCUACGUUUGGAAAGGAUAACCGCUGAAAGCAUCUUAAGUGGGAAGCCUGCCUCAAGAUUAAUUUUCCCGAACCAUUAGGUUCCUGAAGAUCACUCGAAGACUACGAGUUUGAUAGGCACAAAGUGUAAGUCCUGUAAGGGAUUCAGCUAAUGUGUACUAAUCGAUCGUGAGCCUUACUACG
Molecule: ribosomal RNA, 2008 nt
Filed under: marine metagenome
Description: bacterial LSU rRNA
Rfam family: Bacterial large subunit ribosomal RNA
Source: RNAcentral